This 319-nucleotide ribosomal RNA is filed under the name uncultured Prevotella sp. RNAcentral describes it as "bacterial SSU rRNA". It matches the Rfam family "Bacterial small subunit ribosomal RNA", at positions 28 to 339 of the family's 1533-position model. Lineage: Bacteria; Pseudomonadati; Bacteroidota; Bacteroidia; Bacteroidales; Prevotellaceae. The record is from RNAcentral.
GAUGAACGCUAGCUACAGGCUUAACACAUGCAAGUCGUGGGGCAGCAUGGUCUUAGCUUGCUAAGGCCGAUGGCGACCGGCGCACGGGUGAGUAACGCGUAUCCAACCUUCCCCCUGGUAGGGCAUAGCCCGUAGAAAUGCGGAUUAACACCCUAUGUUGUGCAUUGAGGACAUCUGAGGAGCACUAAAGUUUGACGCCAUGGGAUGGGGAUGCGUCCGAUUAGCUUGACGGCGGGGUGACGGCCCACCGUGGCUACGAUCGGUAGGGGUUCUGAGAGGAAGGUCCCCCACACUGGAACUGAGACACGGUCCAGACUCC